UUCUCUUCUAACAGGGGUAGC
This 21-nucleotide non-coding RNA is filed under the name Rattus norvegicus (Norway rat). The record is from RNAcentral. Lineage: Eukaryota; Metazoa; Chordata; Mammalia; Rodentia; Muridae.